AGUUGAGGUUAAUUUGGUAUCAAACUUUUCUUGCUAAUAGUUGAAAAUAUAGCGUUCCUUGAGGAAUGUGGUGCAAAUUGGAAGGUAUUGUUGAAAUAUACCCAAGUUUUGAACAAGAAAAGGUAGUUGGUGAUGGCUCUGCCUUGAAUGAAUCAUUUAAAAGUAUUUAUAGGUGCAUUUGUUAAAUUGGAAGCUCAUGGCUUUGUAAGCCUUGGAUCUUCAGAGUUCAGACAGAAAACCAUGGUGAUAGACAAGUCUUGGCUAUUUUAAAAUUCCUGAUUUCUAAGCUAAUGACUAUAUUGGAACUAUUAACUGUGAUAUACUGCACGUUGUGG
This 335-nucleotide unclassified non-coding RNA is filed under the name Hevea brasiliensis (rubber tree). The record is from RNAcentral. Lineage: Eukaryota; Viridiplantae; Streptophyta; Magnoliopsida; Malpighiales; Euphorbiaceae.